This 497-nucleotide ribosomal RNA is filed under the name uncultured bacterium. RNAcentral's name for it is "partial 16S ribosomal RNA". It matches the Rfam family "Bacterial small subunit ribosomal RNA", at positions 28 to 507 of the family's 1533-position model. The record is from RNAcentral.
GAUGAACGCUGGCGGCGUGCCUAAUACAUGCAAGUCGAGCGAACAGACGAGGAGCUUGCUCCUCUGACGUUAGCGGCGGACGGGUGAAUAACACGUGGAUAACCUACCUAUAAGACUGGGAUAACUUCGGGAAACCGGAGCUAAUACCGGAUAAUAUAUUGAACCGCAUGGUUCAAUAGUGAAAGACGGUUUUGCUGUCACUUAUAGGUGGAUCCGCGCCGCAUUAGCUAGUUGGUAAGGUAACGGCUUACCAAGGCGACGAUGCGUAGCCGACCUGAGAGGGUGAUCGGCCACACUGGAACUGAGACACGGUCCAGACUCCUACGGGAGGCAGCAGUAGGGAAUCUUCCGCAAUGGGCGAAAGCCUGACGGAGCAACGCCGCGUGAGUGAUGAAGGUCUUCGGAUCGUAAAACUCUGUUAUUAGGGAAGAACAAAUGUGUAAGUAACUAUGCACGUCUUGACGGUACCUAAUCAGAAAGCCACGGCUAACUACGUG